UGUGUGUGUGUGUGUGUGUGUGUGUGUGUGUGUGUGUGUGUGUGUGUGUGUGUGUGUGUGCUAUAAGAGGUGAGCCAUUAGGCAGGAGUCAGGUCGUCUGGUUGCUUCUAUUGUUCUCUACUUCCUGAUGACCCUAAAGGAGGUGUGUAGGGAUGAGGUGGCAGCGGAGACAGAGGAGGGACCCCAAACCCCCAAAUCCACCUGGCAGUUUUCUGAACUAGGCCAAUUUAAACAACAAAACAUGAUGUAGUGCAUGUAUCAGGGUUACAUCCAAACUCUUGGUCCUGACUCAUUUCCUGUCCUCUUCUGCUACUCAGUAUUUAAAGGGUUAUUCCGUAAAAUUAAUUUAGGGUCAAACACACUGUAGCACCGAGUUAGACACCCCCUGGAGAGAUGAAUGUUGCUGACUGCUUGCUUCUCUUGUUAAACCAACUUUAGUAACGACCGCACCACUCUAUAGCCACAAAUAAUGCUCAGAACAGCACCUAACUUCAUCAACAGUACAUUAUAGGGUCCCAGCCACGUCACUAGCUUCCAAACAUCUUUUUAAGUUUGUCUAAUUUUUUUAGCAAAGAGACUAAACACAACUCACCUACUCUCUUCCAGCAGCUGCUUGUUUGUAGCAAGACCUCAGGCCAAUCCAUUACAGACAACAGCGGGGUGAUGCAGCUCAAGGAAUAACAUUUAUGAUCAUUUCUUUAUCAUUUCCUUGAAGUAAUAAUCAUCAUAUUAAUCAUUUUGCACUGCAGACAUGGUAGGUCUUCUGCCUCAGCAUUCUAAUUGCAUUCCUAUGAAGAAAUGAUCAUAAAUGUUCUUCCUUGAGCUGUGACACCCCACAGUUGUCCGUAAUGGACUGGCCUGAGGUCUCGCUACAAACAAGCGGCUGCUGGAAGAGAGUAGGUGAGUUGUGUUUAGUCGCUUUGCUAAAGAAAUCAGGCAAAGUUAAAAAGAUGUUUGGUGGCUUGUUCUAUGGCUAGGACCCUAUAUGUACUGUUGAUGAAGUUAGGUGCUGUUCUGAGCAUUAUUUGUGGCUAUAGAGUGGCUUUUUGGUUGAGGUUUGCACAUGGAGAGGUAGACCGCUGUGUGUAACUAUCGUGUGGUUGUAACUAAAGUUGGUAUAACUAGAGAAGCAAGCGGUCGGUAACAUUCAUCUCUCGAGUCGGUGUCUAACUUGGUGUUACGGUGUGUUUGACCCUUAAUUAAUUUUAUGCCGGAAUAUCCCUUUAAAGAUCUUUUCCCUCUCUCCUUCAUGUAGAUUGUAUAUCUGAACUUCUACAGAGUAUCAUCAGUUUGUACCUGAUAGAAACAGAGAAACACACAGAGAGCCAGGCGUGCUGCUACUUUGGGGUGAGGAGGUGAGUGAGGUUCAUGUGCAGGCCAGAUGACAGUAUGAGGUUUUAGGGGGAGGGGGCUGUCAUAGCGUCUGCCUUUUAGUUGUGUCAGCAAAAGCCUCUCUGCACAAAUGCUGAUUUCAGUUAAAGAGCUCGUGUGGGCUAUAAAGUUUAUUCCUCUUGUCUCAACUGAACUAUUACUCCUGCUAACAUGCUUCCCCAUUGUGUUGUCGACUCUUUUAGCUCCUCCCAGGAGGUAACAUUAGUCUCUGGUAUUAAGUCUUUUACAAAUACUUUUCAAACACUGCAUCAUUUUAAGUUUCUGAAAAUAGAGCGAGUUAUGUCUGUCUGUUGACAUUUCCAAUCCUGCAAACACGCUGCCACUGCUGUCUCUCACAGACAGAGAAGACUUUCAGGUAACAACAAUGCAAACACAUUUUCAGUAUCAACAGACGGGAAAACAAGACGUAGAAUAACUCUCAGGGAUGACGGACACAUCGAAACUUGAAAAUGCCACUCAGAAUAGAGAGAUUUGGGAUUUUUGCUGCUAGGUACAAAAGUCAUAGGACUGGGUUUGGACCCCUGGUAGUUUGUGAAUUACCAAAAGUCAGUGUUUGCACAUUCAUACUUGUGGUCCACAUCCUGUAACUUUUCCCAGAGAAGAUGAAAUAAUAAUA
RNAcentral lists this long non-coding RNA (2008 nucleotides) under Xyrichtys novacula (pearly razorfish). The record is from RNAcentral. Lineage: Eukaryota; Metazoa; Chordata; Actinopteri; Labriformes; Labridae.